GAGUAUUGAGUUUGAGCCCUAAACUCACGAGUUAUCUGAAAAGUUAGGAAAAACUAAAGUGUGAGCUAUGAAGCUCAAUGUGAUCUUAACAUAUGAGAAGUAAAUAUAAAACAAUAAUUAACAGCACACAGGUUUGCAAUAUAUAAUACAUAUCAUAUUACCAAUCCUACAAUGAUCUUAAUAAAUAUACAGUGUGCAUGAAUAACGGUACAAUUUUCCUACUCAACUAUCCACUACACUCUAUAGUAGAGUUCCCAAGAACUUGUUUAACCCUACAUACCAAACAAUAUUUUACGGAUGAAUUGCCAUUAUAUCAGUAGGUCAUAGAUAAACCGCCAAUAAAAUAAUAAUUUGAUUGAUAAAUUAGUCUGACAUUAAAUGCCUACACUUCCUCCUUCAAAACUCAAAUCUCAAUGCAACAAUGUGGCAUGCUAUCGAUAUCAGAAAGCAAUAACAAUAACAGUAACAAAAUUAAUAUGCUAUUAUCAUGCAAACAAUAACAAUUUUAUGGUUAAGCAAUAGUAAUAAGUAUGCAUCAGUAAUUUAUACAAAUUUAUCAUAGAUUUAACGUCACGCACAUAAUCAACAUUACAAUUCAUAAAAUUGGCAGCAAAGAACAAUUAUACUUACGGUGGAGGAUGUGGCGACAACAAGGGAGAAAAGAGAGGAAGAGGAACAAAAAAAAAAAGAAAAAAAAGGGAGAAAGAGAAGAGAAGGGAAAAGAGAGGGGACAAUGCAAGGGAAAAGAAAGAGAGAAGAGGGGAAAGAAAUAGAGAAUUUAGGGUUUGGGUGACACAAAGCAAAG
RNAcentral lists this long non-coding RNA (805 nucleotides) under Gossypium barbadense (sea-island cotton). Its description in RNAcentral is "long non-coding RNA (GBAR_LNC002979)". The record is from RNAcentral. Lineage: Eukaryota; Viridiplantae; Streptophyta; Magnoliopsida; Malvales; Malvaceae.